CAUGCUCCUCACAAGAAAGUCUCUGGGAAUAUCCUGGCUCUUUGGUAUAUGAAAAUAAAGGAGGCAGAGUCCACAUCCACUACUGACUGCUUCAAGGAAACAAAGAGCCCUCUGAGAAGAUCUCCAGCCCAAGCUCAAACCAAACCAAACCAGGAAGACAAGACAUCCACAGGCUUCCAAGCAGGAAGGGGAGCCCAUGGGAUCAGCUCUGGGUAACACAAUCCCCAGCACAGCUCUGUCAUUGGCUCACAGGAUCCCUGGUCCAGCUUCUUCCUCUCAACAACCAGCUCUAGAACUUGAGGUGUCUGCCCCCAUUCUCUUCAGGGAUGGGAAACGGAGAAUUUUCAGAAGUAAACGUUAAGGGUUUGUUGAAAGGCAGCCACACAAAACCUCAGGUGUGAGCCACGCUGACAACUUCCUCCUCCAUCUUUAGAACAAGCAAAUGCUGCAGAUACUCCCAGCUUGCAACAGAGCCAG
Molecule: long non-coding RNA, 477 nt
Organism: Corvus hawaiiensis (hawaiian crow)
Lineage: Eukaryota; Metazoa; Chordata; Aves; Passeriformes; Corvidae
Exons: 3
Source: RefSeq, a predicted model, not a curated record